This 205-nucleotide microRNA precursor is filed under the name Oryza sativa Japonica Group (Japanese rice). RNAcentral describes it as "MIR812 microRNA precursor family". It matches the Rfam family "MIR812 microRNA precursor family". The record is from Rfam by way of RNAcentral. Lineage: Eukaryota; Viridiplantae; Streptophyta; Magnoliopsida; Poales; Poaceae.
AAUGUAUGACGUCGUUGACUUUUUGAUAAACGUUUGACCUUUCGUCUUAUUUAAAAAAUUUAUGUAAUUAUCAUUUAUUUUAUUGUGACUUAAUUUAUCAUCAAAUGUUCUUUAAGUAUGACAUAAGUAUUUUUAUAUUUAUAUAAAAAAAUUGAAUAAGACGAAUGGUCAAACGUUGGUUAAAAAAUCAACGGCGUCAUACAUU